RNAcentral lists this ribosomal RNA (491 nucleotides) under uncultured bacterium. Its description in RNAcentral is "partial 16S ribosomal RNA". It matches the Rfam family "Bacterial small subunit ribosomal RNA", at positions 29 to 507 of the family's 1533-position model. The record is from RNAcentral.
GUGCACGCUGGCGGUAGGCCUAACCCCUGCAAGUCGAACGGCAGCACAGUAAGCGCUUGCUCUUACGGGUGGCGAGUGGCGGACGGGUGAGGAAUACAUCGGAAUCUACUUUUUCGUGGGGGAUAACGUAGGGAAACUUACGCUAAUACCGCAUACGACCUACGGGUGAAAGCAGGGGAUCUUCGGACCUUGCGCGAUUGAAUGAGCCGAUGUCGGAUUAGCUAGUUGGCGGGGUAAAGGCCCACCAAGGCGACGAUCCGUAGCUGGUCUGAGAGGAUGAUCAGCCACACUGGAACUGAGACACGGUCCAGACUCCUACGGGAGGCAGCAGUGGGGAAUAUUGGACAAUGGGCGCAAGCCUGAUCCAGCCAUACCGCGUGGGUGAAGAAGGCCUUCGGGUUGUAAAGCCCUUUUGUUGGGAAAGAAAAGCAGCAGGUUAAUACCCCGCUGUUCUGACGGUACCCAAAGAAUAAGCACCGGCUAACUUCGUG